GAUGAACGCUGGCGGUAUGCUUUACACAUGCAAGUCGUACGGAAAGUAUCUGAAUUUAUUCGUUUACUUUUAGUGGCGGACGGGUGAGUAACGCGUGAGAAUCUGCCCUCAGGAGGGGGACAACAGUUGGAAACGACUGCUAAUACCCCAUAUGCCGCGAGGUGAAAUGAAUUUCGCCUGAGGAUGAGCUCGCGUCUGAUUAGCUAGUUGGUGUAGGUAAUGGCUCACCAAGGCAUCGAUCAGUAGCUGGUCUGAGAGGAUGAUCAGCCACACUGGGACUGAGACACGGUCCAGACUCCUACGGGAGGCAGCAGUGGGGAAUUUUCCGCAAUGGGCGAAAGCCUGACGGAGCAAUACCGCGUGAGGGAAGACUGCCUAUGGGUUGUAAACCUCUUUUUUCAGGGAGGAAUAAAUGACGUGUACCUGAAGAAUAAGCAUCGGCUAACUCCGUG
RNAcentral lists this ribosomal RNA (452 nucleotides) under uncultured bacterium. RNAcentral's name for it is "bacterial SSU rRNA". It matches the Rfam family "Bacterial small subunit ribosomal RNA", at positions 28 to 507 of the family's 1533-position model. The record is from RNAcentral.